This 514-nucleotide ribosomal RNA is filed under the name uncultured bacterium. RNAcentral's name for it is "bacterial SSU rRNA". It matches the Rfam family "Bacterial small subunit ribosomal RNA", at positions 9 to 517 of the family's 1533-position model. The record is from RNAcentral.
GAGUUUGAUCGUGGCUCAGAUUGAACGCUGGCGGCAGGCCUAACACAUGCAAGUCGGGCGGUAGAGAGAAGCUUGCUUCUCUUGAGAGCGGCGGACGGGUGAGUAAUGCCUAGGAAUCUGCCUGGUAGUGGGGGAUAACGCUCGGAAACGGACGCUAAUACCGCAUACGUCCUACGGGAGAAAGCAGGGGACCUUCGGGCCUUGCGCUAUCAGAUGAGCCUAGGUCGGAUUAGCUAGUUGGUGAGGUAAUGGCUCACCAAGGCGACGAUCCGUAACUGGUCUGAGAGGAUGAUCAGUCACACUGGAACUGAGACACGGUCCAGACUCCUACGGGAGGCAGCAGUGGGGAAUAUUGGACAAUGGGCGAAAGCCUGAUCCAGCCAUGCCGCGUGUGUGAAGAAGGUCUUCGGAUUGUAAAGCACUUUAAGUUGGGAGGAAGGGCAGUAAAUUAAUACUUUGCUGUUUUGACGUUACCGUACAGAAUAAGCACCGGCUAACUCUGUGCCAGCAGCCG